Molecule: RNase P RNA, 373 nt
Filed under: Anaerolineae bacterium
Lineage: Bacteria; Bacillati; Chloroflexota; Anaerolineae
Description: RNase P RNA component class A
Rfam family: Bacterial RNase P class A
About the family: Ribonuclease P (RNase P) is a ubiquitous endoribonuclease, found in archaea, bacteria and eukarya as well as chloroplasts and mitochondria. Its best characterised activity is the generation of mature 5'-ends of tRNAs by cleaving the 5'-leader elements of precursor-tRNAs. Cellular RNase Ps are ribonucleoproteins.
Source: RNAcentral
CAAGCAGGCCGGGUGAUCGCGUCUCGCCCCCACAUGGGCGGCGAGAUGAGGAAAGUCCGCGCUCCACAGGGCACGGUGCUGGCUAACGGCCAGGCGGGGUGACCCGACGGCAAAGUGCAACAGAGAGGCAGAGUGCCCCUCCGCGUGAGGGGUGAGGGUGAAACGGUGCGGUAAGAGCGCACCGGCGUCUGUGGCGACACAGGCGGCCAGGCAAACCCCACCGGGAGCAAGACCAAGCAGGAACGAUGGGGCGGCCCGUCCCGCGAUCAGUUCCGGGUAGGUUGCUGGAGGCGCCGGGUAACUGGCGUCCUAGAGAGAUGAUCACCACCCGCUCCGGCGGGCACAGAACGCGGCUUACAGGCCGGCUUGGGUC